RNAcentral lists this ribosomal RNA (429 nucleotides) under uncultured bacterium. Its description in RNAcentral is "bacterial SSU rRNA". It matches the Rfam family "Bacterial small subunit ribosomal RNA", at positions 355 to 776 of the family's 1533-position model. The record is from RNAcentral.
UGGGGAAUAUUGGACAAUGGGGGCAACCCUGAUCCAGCGAUGCCGCGUGUGUGAAGAAGGCCUUCGGGUUGUAAAGCACUUUAGGUUGGGAAGAAGGGAUGUGGGUGAAUAACCUAUAUUUUUGACGGUACCAUCAGAAUAAGCACCGGCUAACUCUGUGCCAGCAGCCGCGGUAAUACAGAGGGUGCGAGCGUUAAUCGGAGUAACUGGGCGUAAAGGGCGCGUAGGCGGGUUGAUAAGUGAGAGGUGAAAUCCCUGGGCUUAACCUAGGAAUAGCCUCUUAGACUGUUAGUCUAGAGUGCAGUAGAGGGUAGUGGAAUUUCCGGUGUAGCGGUGAAAUGCGUAGAGAUCGGAAGGAACAUCAGUGGCGAAGGCGACUGCCUGGACUGAGACUGACGCUGAGGCGCGAAAGCGUGGGGAGCAAACAGG